GGCAAAAUGGCUCAGAGGUUAAAGCAUCUGCCUGCAAUGCAGGAGACCUUGGUUCAAUCCCUGGGUCU
RNAcentral lists this transfer RNA (68 nucleotides) under Bos taurus (domestic cattle). It matches the Rfam family "tRNA". From Rfam's summary of the family: Transfer RNA (tRNA) molecules are approximately 80 nucleotides in length. Their secondary structure includes four short double-helical elements and three loops (D, anti-codon, and T loops). The record is from Rfam by way of RNAcentral. Lineage: Eukaryota; Metazoa; Chordata; Mammalia; Artiodactyla; Bovidae.